GGGGGCUUAAAGUCGUCGCGCUAACCCGCAAGGGAGGCAGCCGGCCACGGUAAGGUCAGCGACUGGGGUGAAGUCGUAACAAGGUAGCCGUAGGUGAACCUGCAGAAGGAUCA
This 113-nucleotide ribosomal RNA is filed under the name uncultured eukaryote. RNAcentral describes it as "partial small subunit ribosomal RNA". The record is from RNAcentral.